Molecule: long non-coding RNA, 1081 nt
Filed under: Felis catus (domestic cat)
Lineage: Eukaryota; Metazoa; Chordata; Mammalia; Carnivora; Felidae
Description: lncRNA (ENSFCAG00000049938.1)
Source: RNAcentral
CAAGUUUCUUCCUGUUCAGAGAAGCAUAAUAUUUGGCAGGCUAACAUGCCAUCCUUCCCAAUCACUUUGUACUUUCCUUUGUUUUAUUCUGCACAAGUAGCAUUUUUUUCAUGGACUAUCUGUGGGUUACAAAACAUAUGUAGUUGAGAAGAAGACAUUUAAAAGACACUCCUUCUCUCAGAAGAUCAAAUCUUAAAUAUAUAAGCUGUUGAAAUGGAAGUUUUCUUAGUGAUAAUUAUAUCCAGCUUUUCUCUAAUGAAUAUUUCCUUUCCAUAUCUGAAUAUGUUGAACCACACUUUGCUUGGAAACCUUCUAAAAGUUUUUUAACAUUUAUUCAUUUUUGAGGAACAGAGGAGAGACAGAGCACGAGUGGAGGAUGGGCAGAGAGAGAAGGAAUCUGAUGCAAGCUCCAUGUUCCAAGCUCCAAACUGUCAGCACAGAGCCUGAUAUGGGGCUCGAACCCACAAACCAUGAGAUCAUAACCUGAGCUGAAGUCAGACACUUAAGUGACUGAGCCACCCAGGCACACCUGCUUGGAAAUCUUCUAAUGAAAGGAAACCUAUAUUUCAAGCAUAGAACUCCAUCUACUGCUUUUCAUCAUGGUGUACUGAGAAGACCAGUCGGCAGGGAAAACCGUGGACUCACCCAAACUCUGUCACGAGGCGUGGUAAGAAUUGGGGAUGCUAUUCUGCCUAAAAUGAUGCUAACCUACCUAAAAGUCAGUCUCUUCAUCUGCCUCUAAGUCUCUCAGAACUUUGAUUUUACACUGCUUCAUAACUUAGUGCUGUUUGUAAAACAAAACAAAGCAAACAGAGCAAAAACCAACAUAUAAGUAUUGUCAUUAAAAGUGUUAAAUUAGUUUGGAUCCCGUGGGGGAAAAAACCUACAACUGCUUUGGUAAUCAUUAGCCACAAAUUUGACUCCCUCGAAUAUUUCUCCUAUUCUCUCAAGACAAGAAAUAUGAGGUCAAAGAUGCCACCUGUAUGCACAUUCUUAAUUCUUGGCUAAGCUUUCUACAAGCUCUGUUUACUCUCUUCUGCAAAGCAAUAAACUUUUCAACUCUCAUUCUUAAAUCCUAGAC